Molecule: unclassified non-coding RNA, 220 nt
Filed under: soil metagenome
Description: partial contains 5.8S ribosomal RNA, internal transcribed spacer 2, and large subunit ribosomal RNA
Source: RNAcentral
AAGACUAUAGACCUGCGGAGUACCUGCGGAAGGAUCAUUACAGAGUUCAUGCCCUCACGGGUAGAUCUCCCACCCUUGAAUACUAUACCUUUGUUGCUUUGGCGGGCCGCUUCGGCUACCGGUUCCAGCUGGUAAGUGCCUGCCAAAGGACCCCUAAACUCUAAAUAUUAGUGUCGUCUGAGUACUAUAAAAUCGUUAAAACUUUCAACAACGGAUCUCU